AUGUACGCUCCGUACACGCCGGUUCCGAGCGGGCCGUCCGCACCCACCUGACGGCCUCUCGCCAUGUUGGGUCAGCC
This 77-nucleotide small RNA is filed under the name Xanthomonas sp. 3075. RNAcentral describes it as "sRNA sX9". It matches the Rfam family "Xanthomonas sRNA sX9". The record is from RNAcentral. Lineage: Bacteria; Pseudomonadati; Pseudomonadota; Gammaproteobacteria; Lysobacterales; Lysobacteraceae.